This 846-nucleotide ribosomal RNA is filed under the name uncultured Flavobacteriaceae bacterium. Its description in RNAcentral is "bacterial SSU rRNA". It matches the Rfam family "Bacterial small subunit ribosomal RNA", at positions 35 to 873 of the family's 1533-position model. The record is from RNAcentral. Lineage: Bacteria; Pseudomonadati; Bacteroidota; Flavobacteriia; Flavobacteriales; Flavobacteriaceae.
GCUAGCGGCAGGCCUAAUACAUGCAAGUCGAACGGUAACAUUGGUGCUUGCACCAGAUGACGAGUGGCGCACGGGUGCGUAACGCGUAUGCAAUCUACCUUUUACUAGAGUAUAGCCCAGAGAAAUUUGGAUUAAUCCUCUAUAAUAUCUUUUAAUUUCAUGAUUUUAAGAUUAAAGUUUUAACGGUAAAAGAUGAGCAUGCGUCCUAUUAGUUUGUAGGUGAGGUAACGGCUCACCUAGACUACGAUAGGUAGGGGCCCUGAGAGGGGGAUCCCCCACACUGGUACUGAGACACGGACCAGACUCCUACGGGAGGCAGCAGUAAGGAAUAUUGGACAAUGGACGAAAGUCUGAUCCAGCCAUGCCGCGUGCAGGAUGAAAGCCCUAUGGGUUGUAAACUGCUUUUAUACAGGAAGAAACACUCCGACGUGUCGGAGCUUGACGGUACUGUAAGAAUAAGGAUCGGCUAACUCCGUGCCAGCAGCCGCGGUAAUACGGAGGAUCCAAGCGUUAUCCGGAAUCAUUGGGUUUAAAGGGUCCGCAGGCUGUUUUUUAAGUCAGAGGUGAAAUCCUACAGCUCAACUGUAGAACUGCCUUUGAUACUGAAAAACUUGAGUUAUUGUGAAGUGGUUAGAAUGUGUGGUGUAGCGGUGAAAUGCAUAGAUAUCACACAGAAUACCGAUUGCGAAGGCAGAUCACUAACAAUAUACUGACGCUCAUGGACGAAAGCGUGGGGAGCGAACAGGAUUAGAUACCCUGGUAGUCCACGCCGUAAACGAUGGAUACUAGCUGUUCGUCUAACAUUGGUUAGAUGAGUGGCUAAGCGAAAGUGAUAAGUAUCCCACC